AUGAUACAGUGCGGAAGCCUUGGUAGCAUGCUGAAGUGGAUGGAAGAAAGCAUGGAAAAUCACAGGACCACUUUAUCAAGCACUUCGAUUUGGAACCAAAUCCAGCAAUGUUUAAGUCAUCCUGAUGAACACAGUCAACCCAAAGCAUAUCUACAAUUUGACAUAAAUCAGAUUACAAAUGGAAUGAAUAAAGACCACAAAAUGUGUUUUGGGUUCACAAUGGACUCCAGACUGGAAAAAGCCCAUCAGUCCUCAUUUUCUUCACUUAGAAAGAGACCUUUCCACAAAAGGAUGAUGUUGGCGUAAUGGAGAAAAUAAACCGAGGCAACAAGGAACUUACAAUCAUCAAAUUUGUAGGGUUUUUGGCAAAAAAUAGACCAUAUUCAGGUCCUGAUAUCACUCACAGAGGAAACCUCACCAGCUCACCGAAGACCUACUUCCUAUAAAGGACCCCCAUUCCGAAUAUUUCUGGGCGAGUACUGGAAGCAUUUUGCACACUCUGAAGAACAGGUCAUCAUUUAUUCAUUCGACAAGCAGCAACUCUAUGCUUGGCACAGU
RNAcentral lists this long non-coding RNA (558 nucleotides) under Sus scrofa (pig). Its description in RNAcentral is "lncRNA (ENSSSCG00070028970.1)". Lineage: Eukaryota; Metazoa; Chordata; Mammalia; Artiodactyla; Suidae. The record is from RNAcentral.